CAAAAACAUAACUAUAUGUAUAGUAUAUAUAGCUAUUUCUGCUCAAUGUGAAUAUAAAUAGCCGCAGUACCUUGACUGUGCAAAGGUAGCAUAAUCAGUUGGCUUAUAAUUGAAGUCUGGAAUGAAGGAAUAAUGUGGGGAAAUACUGUCUCUUUUAUGUCGUGGGAAAUUAUUUAGUAGGUGAAAAUCCCUACACACUAAAAAAUAGACGAGAAGACCCUAGAAAUUUUUACUAGAAAAUUAUGGUUCUACUCUUUUUGUUGGGGCGACAUAGUAGCAUUAUUAACCUACUGUUUUAUUUAUAAGUAUUAAUUUGGAAGCAUAAAUAAAUUACUCUAGGGAUAACAGCAUAAUAUUAAAAAGUUUGUGACCUCGAUGUUGGACUAGGAAACUAUAGUUUAGAAGACUACUAGAUAAGCUCUGUUCGAGCUUUAUACUCCUACGUGAUCUGA
Molecule: ribosomal RNA, 452 nt
Filed under: Acusta tourannensis
Lineage: Eukaryota; Metazoa; Mollusca; Gastropoda; Stylommatophora; Camaenidae
Description: partial large subunit ribosomal RNA
Rfam family: Bacterial large subunit ribosomal RNA
Source: RNAcentral